This 69-nucleotide transfer RNA is filed under the name Phaethon lepturus (White-tailed tropicbird). RNAcentral describes it as "tRNA-Phe". Lineage: Eukaryota; Metazoa; Chordata; Aves; Phaethontiformes; Phaethontidae. The record is from RNAcentral.
GUCCUUGUAGCUUAUCAACAAAGCAUGGCACUGAAGACGCCAAGAUGGUCACCUCCCGCCCCAAGGACA